CUUCUGAGGAACACACAGGCCCAUGGGAUACUCCAAAAUCAGGGACCGAGGUCAGAAAGACAAGCAAGGACCAUGUUCUUAGCUGUUUUAAACAAGGGGCGGACAUGUUCCCCUUGGUCCUCCAGCCACUGUGCAGACAUGGCUGGAAUCAAAGAUCCAAGAGCUGGAACCAGUGGGCAAGAAGACAACCUCCAAUAACUUCACAUACAACCGGACCAAACUCAAGUGUCCCUCGCCUGAAAACCCUUUCCUCUACACUGUCCGGAACAGUCAGAUUCUUCUAGACAAGGCUAAAGAAAACUCCAAUACACUCUACUGGGCAGUGCCAGUGGCUGCAGUAGGUGGCCUGGUAGUUGGCAUCCUUGGAAUGAUGUUGUGGAGAACUGUGAGACUCGUCCAAUAGAAGGAGGAGGAGACUUUUCCAAAUACAAGUGUGGACCUUGAGUUGACCCAGGAUGCUGUUUCAGAGGAGAAGCUCAGAGAUUGACCCUUGGUACCAGACAGCAAUUACGUAAUCUCAGGGAUGGGGACUGCGUGCCUUUCUCUCUUGGGAGUUCACCAUCUUCUUUUGGAAAGAUAAAUAAGAAAGAGUGGCUACACUCAGU
This 605-nucleotide long non-coding RNA is filed under the name Rattus norvegicus (Norway rat). RNAcentral describes it as "long non-coding RNA NONRATT024844". The record is from RNAcentral. Lineage: Eukaryota; Metazoa; Chordata; Mammalia; Rodentia; Muridae.